UUUCCCCUUUUGGGACUAUCCCACUAGUUCCAUUGAGUCAGGCAAGCUCCAUCAAGAGCAGCUAAAGUAUUUGAAAGAAAACAAAUAAUAUUUGAACCCAGGUCUGUGUACUUCUUCCUGGAGGAGUGAUCCAGUGGAAAUAGAAGCAGUUAGGCAGGGGUCUCCAACCUUUUCCAACAUGAGAGCUGCUGGAAAAAAAUGAAACAUGUCGCAAGCUACUUUUCUUUUUUUAAUUUUUUUUAUUUCACACACACUUCUCUUCUUCUCUCCCAUGCAACGCUUCUCUUCUUCUCUCCCAUGCAAGGCUUCUCUUCUUCUCUCCCAUGCAACGCUUCUCUUCUUCUCUCCCAUGCAGGGCUUAUCUUCUUCUCUCCUAUGCAACUCUUCUCUUCUUCUCUCCCGUGCAACGCUUCUCUUCUUCUCUCCCCUGCAACUCUUCUCUUCUUCUCUCCCGUGCAACGCUUCUCUUCUUCUCUCCCGUGCAACGCUUCUCUUCUUCUCUCCCGUGCAACUCUUCUCUUCUUCUCUCCCGUGCAACUCUUCUCUUCUUCUCUCCCGUGCAACUUUUCUCUUCUUCUCUCCCGUGCAACGCUUCUCUUCUUCUCUCCCGUGCAACGCUUCUCUUCUUCUCUCCCGGGCAACUCUUCUCUUCUUCUCUCCCGUGCAACUCUUCUCUUCUUCUCUCCCGUGCAACUCUUCUCUUCUUCUCUACCAUGCAACUCUUCUCUUCUUCUCUCCCAUGCAACGCUUCCCUUCUUCUCUCCCAUGCAACUCUUCCCUUCUUCUCUCCCGUGCAACUCUCCCCCGGGUCCAUGGUGUACUAGAGAUGUGUUUUCUGUCAAUAUUCAAAUAAAAAAUGGAAUCAAAUGUUCUUUGUCACAGUCUAACCCAGUGGAGGGGGAGUAGUUAGGGUGUCCCUAACCAACAGAACUACAGUCUAACCCAGUGGAGGGGGAGUAGUUAGGGUGUCCCUAACCAACAGAACUACAGUCUAACCCAGCGGAAGGGGAGUAGUUAGGGUGUCCCUAACCAACAGAACUACAGUCUAACCCAGUGGAGGGGGAGUAGUUAGGGUGUCCCUAACCAGUAGAACUACAGUCUAACCCAGUGGAGGGGGAGUACUGUCGUUAGGGUGUCCCUAACCAACAGAUGUGGCAGGGCUUGAAAACUAUUACGGACUACAAAGGGAAACUUUAGUUUAUGUAGUAAAUCUUUUCUUAACUCUAUUUAUUUAACUGCAUUGUCGGUUAAGGGCUUGUUAGUAAGCGUUUCACGGUAAAGUCUUUAUUUGUUGUAUUCGGCGCUUGUGACAAAUAACAUUUUGAUUUGAUCUGAAGGGGAGUAGUUACCAGCGGUACCCACUUCACCCUCAACGAUGAGG
This 1381-nucleotide long non-coding RNA is filed under the name Salmo salar (Atlantic salmon). RNAcentral's name for it is "lncRNA (ENSSSAG00000092906.1)". The record is from RNAcentral. Lineage: Eukaryota; Metazoa; Chordata; Actinopteri; Salmoniformes; Salmonidae.